AUGCUGCCCAGCUUCCUCAGAUGCUUUCCCAACGUCGAGAGGCUGCAUCUUGAGUCCAACGAAACUGAGGAGCCCACCGGCAAGCUCAGCAACAAGUUCUGGCAGGAGGUCGGCGCUAUCGAAUGCAUGCAGUCGCACAUGAAGCUGAUGGUCUUCUACGGCUUCCGAGGGGAGCGGGGCGAGCUUUCCUUCCUCAAGUUCGUCCUGGAGAGCGCACGGAUCCUGACGAAGCUGGUGAUCGUGUUCACCAAGGGGAGCUUCAGCUCAAUGGCAGAGGCCAGCUCCAAGGUGAAACCUCUUUGCUGCAAAAUGGGCUAA
RNAcentral lists this ribosomal RNA (318 nucleotides) under Triticum aestivum (bread wheat). RNAcentral describes it as "partial small subunit ribosomal RNA". Lineage: Eukaryota; Viridiplantae; Streptophyta; Magnoliopsida; Poales; Poaceae. The record is from RNAcentral.